Daphnia pulicaria is the source of this 252-nucleotide long non-coding RNA. RefSeq lists it as uncharacterized. The transcript has 2 exons. The record is from RefSeq and is a predicted model, not a curated record. NCBI's taxonomy places the organism in Eukaryota, Metazoa, Arthropoda, Branchiopoda, Diplostraca, Daphniidae.
CAGUUUUACACGUAAUGUUCACCGUGACCUUCAAGCGUGAAGGACAUGCAAACUGGCCGGCCCGUCUGCAGGUUGAACUCUAAAAUGGUUGCAAUAUAGUAGAGACCCUCUCAAAGAAGCAUCUUCAUGACACGGCAGCGAUCACGUGGAUGAGAAAGGCAAAAGAUCUUCGGCAUGCUUUCACAAAAUAAAUUGAUGUAGAUUAAAAAAUGGAUCUUUCGAAAAGUCAAAACUCUAACGAUUAACUUACAU